UGGGCACAGCGUCACGAAGGAAGUAGAAGCACAAUACAGAGAAUACUUCAGACUAAGCACUCUUACUCCUGAUAGUUCUGUUUUGUGUCAUAUGUGUUUCUUUGAAAUGCAGCGUCACGAGAACAACACCGUUCUUAAGAGCAAGAUUCUUUGGCAUUGUAGUCACAAGCACACAAUAGGUCUUCCAUGCGAAUUUGAGGGAUGCAAAGUUCGAGUGCCCACUGCGCGUGACCUUGAACUCCAUAGACACUUCUGUCAUGCUCGUCUUCCCUAGAGAUUCUCAUCAGUAUGGUUUAAUUCUUGUCUAAACUGAGCAAAUGCUGACUUCUGUCCAGAUCUUCUUCAAUAUGGUGUAGUUGCUGUCUGGGCUGAAUAAGUGUUGUCCAAGUACUCCUGAAGCUUGGAGGAGGGUGAUGACUAAUGACUGAAGAGGUUUAUAAAGAUGCAAAGCAAUGUGCUUACUAGCUGAUGUAUGAUCGAGGAGGGUGGAGGCUCCCAGUUUCUGUAGUUUAAACCUUUAGGUGAAUCGCUAGUGAUCCCUAGAGCUUCAGCCUCGCGCUGGAUUACUGAAGCAUUUAAACUGUAUCCUGACAGUGAUGCUUCUGGAGCUAACAUUUGUUUCCCUGAGCUACAUGAGGAUAUUCAUUCUUUCUAUCUAUUGGUGGCAUGCUGAAUCUGUAAACUUCUAGGGGUCUAGCUAGCUCUCUGUCUCUUUGCACAUCACUGUUACUAUCUGUAGAUAAUAUUUCAUAAUGUCUGCACAUGGUAUUAUAUGGUUGUCAGAGUGCAAUUCUAUCGUAACUUUCAUGAUCGAAAUUGUGGUAUAAGUGUAGACUCAUCUGUCUGUUUCUUAGGUAAAUAUAUACUAAUGGAUGAUAAGGUUAAUUCUUUACAGGAGAGAUGUCAAAAGUUACAUGCUGAAUUUUGUAUUGCAGUUGAGAUUAGCAUUUCCACUUGGAACUUCUUUGCAGUUCAUCAUUUCAAGCUAGCUAAAGUACCACAGCAUGGGAAUAACAAACGAAUUCAUGAAUGCUCAACAAUUUCUUGACUGACACGAGCUCAAAUGCUAGCUAGCUUUUCUGAGCUACAAUGAUCAGGUUUACUUAUGAAUGAGCUCAAACGCUAGCUUUCAAGAAAUAAAACGAUCAGGUUUGGUUCUUUUCUUUUGCUAAAAUAUUGGAUCUAUGUAAUCUAUAUAGUAUGUACAUCUGGCUACCAGAAAGUUUUCUGCGUCCCUGUAACUUUCUUUGAAUCAUAUGAAAUCAAAUUUAUAUAUAUAUGUGUGGUAUGCAGUCAAACAGUUUGUGGAUGCAAGGAUUGUGUAUGUAUAAAAAUGAUGCAUUGUGUUCUUCAGACCCAAAUGUAUCCGGCGCAACAGAUGCUAACUAGCACAAAUUUGUGGGGAGGGGACAACCUGAAAAUCAUUGGCAAAAGUUGAUCUGGAAAAGGAUGAUGAU
Sorghum bicolor (sorghum) is the source of this 1457-nucleotide long non-coding RNA. RefSeq lists it as uncharacterized. The transcript is spliced from 5 exons. The record is from RefSeq and is a predicted model, not a curated record. NCBI's taxonomy places the organism in Eukaryota, Viridiplantae, Streptophyta, Magnoliopsida, Poales, Poaceae.